AUUAGAGUUUGAUCCUGGCUCAGAUUGAACGCUGGCGGCAGGCUUAACACAUGCAAGUCGAGCGGUAGCACAGGGGAGCUUGCUCCCUGGGUGACGAGCGGCGGACGGGUGAGUAAUGUCUGGGAAACUGCCUGAUGGAGGGGGAUAACUACUGGAAACGGUAGCUAAUACCGCAUAACGUCGCAAGACCAAAGAGGGGGACCUUCGGGCCUCUUGCCAUCAGAUGUGCCCAGAUGGGAUUAGCUAGUAGGUGGGGUAAUGGCUCACCUAGGCGACGAUCCCUAGCUGGUCUGAGAGGAUGACCAGCCACACUGGAACUGAGACACGGUCCAGACUCCUACGGGAGGCAGCAGUGGGGAAUAUUGCACAAUGGGCGCAAGCCUGAUGCAGCCAUGCCGCGUGUGUGAAGAAGGCCUUCGGGUUGUAAAGCACUUUCAGCGAGGAGGAAGGUGGUGAGCUUAAUACGCUCAUCAAUUGACGUUACUCGCAGAAGAAGCACCGGCUAACUCCGUGCCAGCAGCCGCGGUAAUACGGAGGGUGCAAGCGUUAAUCGGAAUUACUGGGCGUAAAGCGCACGCAGGCGGUUUGUUAAGUCAGAUGUGAAAUCCCCGGGCUCAACCUGGGAACUGCAUUUGAAACUGGCAAGCUAGAGUCUCGUAGAGGGGGGUAGAAUUCCAGGUGUAGCGGUGAAAUGCGUAGAGAUCUGGAGGAAUAC
RNAcentral lists this ribosomal RNA (715 nucleotides) under uncultured bacterium. RNAcentral describes it as "bacterial SSU rRNA". It matches the Rfam family "Bacterial small subunit ribosomal RNA", at positions 1 to 709 of the family's 1533-position model. The record is from RNAcentral.